RNAcentral lists this small RNA (160 nucleotides) under Streptomyces sp. RNAcentral's name for it is "c-di-AMP sequence". It matches the Rfam family "c-di-AMP riboswitch aptamer (ydaO/yuaA leader)". From Rfam's summary of the family: This family represents a conserved RNA structure found upstream of the ydaO and yuaA genes in Bacillus subtilis and related genes in other bacteria. The record is from RNAcentral. RNAcentral also lists the same sequence under 1 other name. Lineage: Bacteria; Bacillati; Actinomycetota; Actinomycetes; Kitasatosporales; Streptomycetaceae.
CCGGAAUUCGCACCCACUCACCGUGUGGCAGGAGCGGGGGAACCAGGUAAGCCGCCGACCGGGACGACCGGACGGCUAGGGGUGAAGUCGCGCCAGGCGCGGCCGGGCAUCUCCAGCCCGAACCCGACAGCUCACCUCGCAGGCGCCGGAGAGGAAAUUC